Bisporella sp. PMI_857 is the source of this 85-nucleotide non-coding RNA. The record is from the annotation of a GenBank genome assembly. Lineage: Eukaryota; Fungi; Ascomycota; Leotiomycetes; Helotiales; Helotiaceae.
UCCCCUGUGGCACAACUGGUUAGCGCGUCAGACUGUUAAGAGAUAAGCAAUCUGGAGGUUGAUAGUUCGAUCCUAUCCGGGGGAG